This 1867-nucleotide ribosomal RNA is filed under the name human gut metagenome. RNAcentral's name for it is "bacterial LSU rRNA". It matches the Rfam family "Bacterial large subunit ribosomal RNA", at positions 588 to 2455 of the family's 2925-position model. The record is from RNAcentral.
AAUGGGUGAUGGCGUGCCUUUUGCAGAAUGAACCGGCGAGUUAUUGUUGCAUGCAAGGUUAAGUUGAAGAGACGGAGCCGAAGCGAAAGCGAGUCUGAAUAGGGCGCUUUAGUAUGCAGUAAUAGACCCGAAACCGAGUGAUCUAUCCUUGAGCAGGUUGAAGUGGUGGUAACACACCAUGGAGGACCGAACCGACGUCUGUGAAAAAGGCGCGGAUGACUUGAGGAUAGCGGAGAAAUUCCAAUCGAACUCGGAGAUAGCUGGUUCUCCCCGAAAUAGGUUUAGGCCUAGCCUUCUAAUUAGUUACCUGGAGGUAGAGCACUGAAUGUAAGAUGGCGGCGUAUAGCUGUACUGAUUGCAAUCAAACUCCGAAUGCCAGGCUAAUAUGUAGAGGAGUCAGUGUAUGGGUGAUAACGUCCAUACGCGAGAGGAAAACAAUCCAGACCGCCAGUUAAGGUCCCAAAAUUUAUGCUAAGUGGGAAAGGAUGUGGAGUCGCUAGAACAGCUAGGAGGUUGGCUUAGAAGCAGCCAUCCUUUAAAGAGUGCGUAAUAGCUCACUAGUCGAGUGGCACUGCGCCGAAGAUGUACCGGGGCUAAAGCAUAAUACCGAAACUGCGGAUUACUUUGUAAUGGUAGGGGAGCGUUCUAAGUGCGCUGAAGGUUGAUCGUAAGGACAGCUGGAGCGCUUAGAAGUGAGAAUGCCGGUAUGAGUAGCGCAAGACGUGUGAGAAUCACGUCCACCGUUUGCCCAAGGUUUCCUGGGUCAAGUUCGUCUUCCCAGGGUUAGUCGGGUCCUAAGGCGAGGCCGAAAGGCGUAGUCGAUGGACAACAGGUUGAUAUUCCUGUACCACCUAUAUGACUGAUGGAGUGACGAAGGAGGCUAACAAGUGCCUGUUAUUGGAUUCAGGUCUAAGCACAAAGGCUUAUAUGUAGGGAAAUCCGCAUAUUGGUAGGCUGAAGUGUGAUGGCGAAGAGAGUAGCAAUACAAUUGAAGACUUGUGACGCCAAACUUCCAAGAAAAGCUUCUAGGGUUAAUCGUAUAGGUGCCCGUACCGAGAACCGCCACAGGUGGGCAAGGAGAGUAUCCUAAGGUGAGCGAGAGAACUAUGGUUAAGGAACUCGGCAAAAUAACCCCGUAACUUAGGGAGAAGGGGUGGUCUAGCGAUAGACCCGCAGUAAAGACGUCCAGGCAACUGUUUACCAAAAACACAGGUCUCUGCAAAGCCGUAAGGCGAAGUAUAGGGGCUGACACCUGCCCAGUGCUGGAAGGUUAAUAGGAGAGGUUAGUAUUUGACUUUGUCAACAUGAUACGAAGCUUUGAAUUGAAGCCCCAGUGAACGGCGGCCGUAACUAUAACGGUCCUAAGGUAGCGAAAUUCCUUGUCAGGUAAGUUCUGACCCGCACGAAAGGUGUAAUGAUCUGGAUACUGUCUCAACCAUAGGCUCGGUGAAAUUUUAAUACCUGUGAAAAUGCAGGUUACCCGCGACAGGACGGAAAGACCCCAUGGAGCUUUACUGUAGCUUGAUAUUGAAAUUUGAUAUUCUUUGUAGAGGAUAGGUGGUAGACUUUGAUACUAGGACGCCAGUUCUAGUGGAGUCGCCCUUGGAAUACCACCCUUGGAAUAUUAGAUUUCUAACCUAGGACCGUAAUCCGGUUCGGGGACAGUGUCUGGUGGGCAGUUUGACUGGGGCGGUCGCCUCCCAAAUAGUAACGGAGGCGCCCAAAGGUUACCUCAGAAUGGUUGGAAAUCAUUCGCAGAGUGUAAAGGUAUAUAGGUAGCUUAACUGCGAGACUUACAAGUCAAGCAGAUACGAAAGUAGGGCUUAGUGAUCAGGCGAUUCAGUAUGGAAUGGUCGUCGCUUAACGG